ACAUGGCGGCGCCCAGGGGCUCAAGCCGCACGUGAGAAAGUCUGGGCAUCUGGGAAUCGGAGAGUAUAGCCUGUGAGCCGCUUUCCCCUCCUUACUGUCGGUUGCAUCCCUUCGACACUCCCGAGGCCGUCGCGGGCCACUGGCCCUCUGCAGCCAUGAAGACAAAGCCCGUUUCCCACAAGACCGAGAACACCUACCGGUUUCUUACAUUUGCUGAACGACUGGGGAAUGUUAAUAUUGAUAUUAUUCACCGGAUUGAUAGAACUGCAAGCUAUGAGGAGGAGGUUGAAACCUACUUUUUUGAGGGUCUGCUGAAAUGGAGAGAAUUAAACCUCACAGAACACUUCGGAAAAUUUUACAAAGAAGUUAUUGACAAAUGCCAAUCAUUCAAUCAGUUGGUGUAUCAUCAAAACGAGAUAGUUCAGAGUUUGAAGACUCACCUGCAAGUUAAGAACAGUUUUGCCUAUCAACCCCUUUUGGAUUUGGUUGUACAGUUGGCACGAGAUCUGCAGAUGGAUUUCUACCCACACUUUCCAGAGUUUUUUUUGACUAUCACCUCGAUCCUGGAGACUCAGGACACAGAGUUGUUAGAAUGGGCUUUCACCUCGUUAUCAUAUCUUUAUAAGUACCUGUGGAGACUGAUGGUGAAGGACAUGUCCAGUAUAUACAGCAUGUACAGCACACUCCUGGCUCAUAAAAAGCUACAUAUAAGAAAUUUUGCUGCUGAAAGUUUUACUUUUUUGAUGAGAAAGGUCUCUGAUAAAAAUGCACUUUUCAAUUUAAUGUUUCUUGAUCUUGAUAAACAUCCAGAAAAAGUUGAAGGUGUUGGACAGUUGCUCUUUGAAAUGUGCAAAGGAGUUAGAAAUAUGUUUCACUCCUGUACAGGCCAGGCAGUGAAGCUAAUUUUGCGAAAGCUAGGACCAGUCACUGAAACAGAAACUCAACUACCAUGGAUGUUAAUUGGAGAAACACUCAAAAACAUGGUCAAAUCCACUGUAUCCUACAUCUCCAAGGAACAUUUUGGUACAUGUUUUGAAUGUUUGCAAGUGAGUUCUAAUCUUUAAGGAUGGGUUUUUGAUAAGGAGUCUAAGGAUUUACUGUUUCUGCUCUCAGUUUUGCAAAUCACUCCUAGAAGUUAUAUUUUAUAAUUGUUUUAUUUAUACUUCUAUACACAUAUUAAAAUUUUCCUUCCCUCUGCCCCCCUGUGCUAUUUUUUAUUUGAUAUGUUAUCUUGAGAUGCAGUAGAAGGCUCUGGAGCCAGACUGCCUAUUUGAAUCUUGACCCUUCCACUUACUGCUAGUGUAACCUGGGAAAAUUAUUUGAAAUCUCGAUUCCCCAGUCUCUUCAGAUAAUAAAUGGGGGUAGUAAUAUUCUCUCCCUCAGGGUUGCUGUGAGGAUGAUGAGUGAAUACUUGUAAAAAACUUAGAAUGGGCCAGGCACAGUGGCUCACACCUGUACUCCCAGCACUUUGGGAGGCCGAGGUGGGUGGAUCACCUGAGGUCGGGAGUUCGAGACCAGCCUGAACAACAUGGAGAAACGCUGUCUCUACUAAAAAUACAAAAUGGCGCAUGCCUGCAAUCCCAGC
RNAcentral lists this small RNA (1585 nucleotides) under Pan troglodytes (chimpanzee). Its description in RNAcentral is "retained intron". Lineage: Eukaryota; Metazoa; Chordata; Mammalia; Primates; Hominidae. The record is from RNAcentral.